UGUUGAGACAGUCAGCCCAUAAGCUAAGGACCCAUGACCUUAGGAAGGGGUAUUCUAAAAAAAAUAAUCAGAUUUUUCCCAUUCUGCAUUUUCCUUUCUCUCUCUAGACAGAGCUCUUUUCUUCCUAAGAAGGUGCUCUGCCUUCUCUCUAAAAGAUCUAGACACUGAACCGUUUAAAAUUUAAUUCGAAGGUGCCUAAACGAUCGUGGUCGCAAGGGCUUCAACUUGAACCAAACAAUUUCUUAUUCCAACUAGUUCUAUAAGUUCAACGCUGAGUGGGUUCCUGUUAGGGCGUUUUCAAUUUGCUACUUUUAAAGAAAACCAGAAGAGAAUGAGGUGUCUGUGGAGAAUGUCCUGGAGGAUAAUGAAGACGUCGCUGCCUAGACUCUCUAGGAAUUUCUGGGCUGUUAUGCCCCUAUGAACAUUUCUAAAUUAUGUUAUUUUGAGACACUUUCCAAUUUAUCUAGUUUGAAUUAGUUUAGCAUUCCACGCUUUUAGUUCCCCCUAAAUUCCUGGAUGACUGUAAUCCUGAUCUUUAUACUACUCUACUCUUGACUGCUUUCAAA
Long non-coding RNA from Vigna radiata var. radiata (mung bean), 566 nucleotides. RefSeq lists it as uncharacterized. The transcript is spliced from 3 exons. The record is from RefSeq and is a predicted model, not a curated record. NCBI's taxonomy places the organism in Eukaryota, Viridiplantae, Streptophyta, Magnoliopsida, Fabales, Fabaceae.